RNAcentral lists this ribosomal RNA (1565 nucleotides) under uncultured bacterium. RNAcentral describes it as "bacterial SSU rRNA". It matches the Rfam family "Bacterial small subunit ribosomal RNA". The record is from RNAcentral.
AGAGUUUGAUCCUGGCUCAGGACGAACGCUGGCGGCGUCCUAAUACAUGCAAGUCGAGCGCGGGAAGCCGUCGGAUCUCUUCGGAGUGACGACGGGGGAACGAGCGGCGGACGGGUGAGUAACACGUGGGCAACCUGCCUUGCAGACUGGGAUAACCCCGGGGAACCGGGGCUAAUACCGGAUGACCAAUAAGAUCGCCUGAUCUUAUUGUAAAAGUGGGGACUUGUUCCUCACACUGCGAGAUGGGCCCGCGGCGCAUUAGCUAGUUGGAGAGGUAAGAGCUCCCCAAGGCGACGAUGCGUAGCCGACCUGAGAGGGUGAUCGGCCACACUGGGACUGAGACACGGCCCAGACUCCUACGGGAGGCAGCAGUAGGGAAUCAUCCGCAAUGGGCGAAAGCCUGACGGUGCAACGCCGCGUGAGUGACGAAGGUUUUCGGAUCGUAAAGCUCUGUUAUCAGGGAAGAACACGUGCCGGUCAAACAGGCCGGCGCCAUGACGGUACCUGAUCAGAAAGCCCCGGCUAACUACGUCCAGCAGCCGCGGUAAUACGUAGGGGGCAAGCGUUGUCCGGAAUUAUUGGGCGUAAAGCGCGCGCAGGCGGUUUCUUAAGUCUAUUUUAAAGCCCACGGCUCAACCGUGGAGGGUCAUUGGAAACUGAGGAACUUAUGCAGGAAGGAGAGUGGAAUUCCACCGUUACGGUUAAAUCGUAAAUAUUUGAGGAACACCAUUGGCGAAACGCGGCUCUCCUCGCCUUUAACUUACGCUAAGGCGCCAAAGGCUUGGGGGAGGCGAAACAGGAAUUAAGAUACCUGUUAGUCCACGCCGUAAAACGUUGAGUGGUUAGGUGUUUAGGGGUUUCGAUGCCCUUAGUGCCGAAGCAAACGCAAUUAAGCACUCCGCCUGGGGAGUACGACCGCAAGGUUUGAAACUCAAAGGAAUUGACGGGGGCCCGCACAAGCGGUGGAGCAUGUGGUUUAAUUCGACGCAACGCGAAGAACCUUACCAGGUCUUGACAUCUUUCGCUAUUCCCAGAGAUGGGAAGUUCCCCUUCGGGGGACGAAAUGACAGGUGGUGCAUGGUUGUCGUCAGCUCGUGUCGUGAGAUGUUGGGUUAAGUCCCGCAACGAGCGCAACCCUUAAUCCUAGUUGCCAGCAUUAAGUUGGGCACUCUAGGGUGACUGCCGGUGACAAACCGGAGGAAGGUGGGGAUGACGUCAAAUCAUCAUGCCCCUUAUGACCUGGGCUACACACGUGCUACAAUGGAUGGUACAGAGGGAAGCGAACCCNCGAGGUGAAGCCAAUCUCAAAAAGCCAUUCUCAGUUCGGAUUGCAGGCUGCAACUCGCCUGCAUGAAGCCGGAAUCGCUAGUAAUCGCGGAUCAGCAUGCCGCGGUGAAUACGUUCCCGGGCCUUGUACACACCGCCCGUCACACCACGAGAGCUUGCAACACCCGAAGUCGGUGGGGUAACCCUUCUGGGAGCCAGCCGCCGAAGGUGGGGCAGGUGAUUGGGGUGAAGUCGUAACAAGGUAUCCCUACCGGAAGGUGGGGCUGGAUCACCUCCUU